UGAAGAGGGAUUUUAUGAGAUUAAAAUACUUGAAUAGUGAAGCUGGGUGCAGUGGUGCUCACUCAUAAUCCCAACUACAAAAGAGUCUGAGGCAGGAGGAUCACUUGAGCCCGAGAGUUUGAGACCAGCCUGGGCAACAUAGCAAGACUCCAUUUUAUUAAAUGAAUUUUUUUAAAGUACCGGUAGUAAUUACAACGGCAAAGUAAUUUUCUAUUUUUUUCUUUCUGUUUUUAGGGUGGCUCCGGAUAUGAUUAUUCCUAUGCAGGGGGUCGUGGCUCAUAUGGUGAUCUUGGUGGACCUAUUAUUACUACACAAGUAACUAUUCCCAAAGAUUUGGCUGGAUCUAUUAUUGGCAAAGGUGGUCAGCGGAUUAAACAAAUCCGUCAUGAGUCGGGAGCUUCGAUCAAAAUUGAUGAGCCUUUAGAAGGAUCCGAAGAUCGGAUCAUUACCAUUACAGGAACACAGGACCAGAUACAGAAUGCACAGUAUUUGCUGCAGAACAGUGUGAAGCAGUAUGCAGAUGUUGAA
RNAcentral lists this long non-coding RNA (528 nucleotides) under Homo sapiens (human). RNAcentral's name for it is "non-protein coding lnc-C9orf64-1:1". Lineage: Eukaryota; Metazoa; Chordata; Mammalia; Primates; Hominidae. The record is from RNAcentral.